Molecule: ribosomal RNA, 226 nt
Filed under: uncultured bacterium
Lineage: Bacteria
Description: partial 16S ribosomal RNA
Rfam family: Bacterial small subunit ribosomal RNA
Source: RNAcentral
CCUAGCCCUUCAGAGGGGGGAAACAGUUGGAAACGACUGCUAAUACCGCAUACGAUCUGACCUCGGCAUCGAGGGUGGAUGAAAGGUGGCCUCUAUUUAUAAGCUAUCACUGAAGGAGGGGAUUGCGUCUGAUUAGCUAGUUGGAGGGGUAACGGCCCACCAAGGCGAUGAUCAGUAGCCGGUCUGAGAGGAUGAACGGCCACAUUGGGACUGAGACACGGCCCAG